AACUUUCAGCAAUGGAUCACUUGGCUCUCGCAUCGAUGAAGAACGCAGCGAAAUGCGAUAAGUAAUGUGAAUUGCAGAAUUCAGUGAAUAAUCGAAUCUUUGAACGCACCUGGCGCUCCUUGGUAUUCCGAGGAGCAUGCCUGUUUGAGUGUCAUUAAUAUAUCAACUUUCUCUUGUUGAGUUGUUUGGAUGUGGGGUUUUGCUGUCCUCUUUAAAAGGUUUUCAGAUCCCCUGAAAUGCAUUAGCAGAAACAGCCCUGUUCAUUGGUGUGAUAACUAUCUACGCUAUUGAAUGUGAAGGGCAGUUUGGCUUUCUAACGGUCCUUGGACAGCUCAUCAUUAAUGUGACCUCAAAUCAGGUAGGACUACCCGCUGAACUUAAGCAUAUCAAUAAGCGGAGGCU
RNAcentral lists this unclassified non-coding RNA (402 nucleotides) under uncultured Cortinarius. RNAcentral describes it as "sequence contains ITS2". The stretch from base 1 to 154 matches the Rfam family "5.8S ribosomal RNA". The record is from RNAcentral. Lineage: Eukaryota; Fungi; Basidiomycota; Agaricomycetes; Agaricales; Cortinariaceae.